RNAcentral lists this ribosomal RNA (587 nucleotides) under uncultured Glomus. RNAcentral describes it as "eukaryotic LSU rRNA". It matches the Rfam family "Eukaryotic large subunit ribosomal RNA", at positions 204 to 637 of the family's 3401-position model. Lineage: Eukaryota; Fungi; Glomeromycota; Glomeromycetes; Glomerales; Glomeraceae. The record is from RNAcentral.
CAUGGAGGGUGAGAAUCCCGUCUUUGACACGGACUACCAGUGCAUUGUGAUGCGCUCUCAAAGAGUCGAGUUGUUUGGGAUUGCAGCUCAAAAUGGGAGGUAAAUUUCUCCUAAGGCUAAAUACCGGCGAGAGACCGAUAGCGAACAAGUACCGUGAGGGAAAGAUGAAAAGAAUUUUGAAAAGAAAGUCAAACAGUACGUGAAAUUGUUGAAAGGGAAACGAUUGAAGCCAGUCGUACCGACGGGAAUUCAACUUCUCGAGUGCUAAUCGUGGGUGACGUUGAGCCUCACGGCCUUCGUUGCUUGUGUUGUUGGUGCUUUUGGGGUGUACUUUUCCGUAUGGUAGGUCAGCAUCGAUUUCGAUCGUCAUAAAAUGAUCGGGGGAAUGUAGCUUCGGUCUCGUAUCGGAGUGUUAUAGACCUUGGUAGAUGUGACGAUUGGGAUCGAGGAUUGCAACGAAUACCCUCUGGGCUAUCCGUCUGACCUCUGAAAGUCGCUCGGGUGUCGAAAGCGUGCUUAUGGCUAUUCGAGUUGGCGGUCAACAGGUUAGAACGUGAUUACAUUCGUUAAGGAUGUUGACGUAAUGG